UGGGGAAUCUUAGACAAUGGGGGAAACCCUGAUCUAGCCAUGCCGCGUGAGCGAUGAAGGCCUUAGGGUUGUAAAGCUCUUUCAGCUGGGAAGAUAAUGACGGUACCAGCAGAAGAAGCCCCGGCUAACUCCGUGCCAGCAGCCGCGGUAAUACGGAGGGGGCUAGCGUUGUUCGGAAUUACUGGGCGUAAAGCGCACGUAGGCGGAUUAGUCAGUCAGAGGUGAAAUCCCAGGGCUCAACCCUGGAACUGCCUUUGAUACUGCUAGUCUUGAGGUCGAGAGAGGUGAGUGGAAUUCCGAGUGUAGAGGUGAAAUUCGUAGAUAUUCGGAGGAACACCAGUGGCGAAGGCGGCUCACUGGCUCGAUACUGACGCUGAGGUGCGAAAGCGUGGGGAGCAAACAGGGUUAGAUACCCUGGUAGUCCACGCCGUAAACGAUGAAUGCCAGUCGUCGGGUUGCAUGCAAUUCGGUGACACACCUAACGGAUUUAAGCAUUCCGCCUGGGGAGUACGGUCGCAAGNUUAAAACUCAAAGGAAUUGACGGGGUCAUAGCUGUUUCCUG
RNAcentral lists this ribosomal RNA (562 nucleotides) under uncultured bacterium. RNAcentral describes it as "partial 16S ribosomal RNA". It matches the Rfam family "Bacterial small subunit ribosomal RNA", at positions 355 to 1376 of the family's 1533-position model. The record is from RNAcentral.